Molecule: long non-coding RNA, 5421 nt
Filed under: Taeniopygia guttata (zebra finch)
Lineage: Eukaryota; Metazoa; Chordata; Aves; Passeriformes; Estrildidae
Description: lncRNA (ENSTGUG00000022118.1)
Source: RNAcentral
UAGACAUUCUCUGUAUCAGUUAAAUGAGUCUGAACUGGAUUUAGUUUAAACUGAAUUUUAGACAUAUCAGCAGUUAAGCACCCCAGAAGUUUUUGGACCAGCAUACUAGAUUUUCUUUUCCCUUCAUCUAAUGCAUCAUUAUUACUCAUUUUGCAUACUCUGUAACUUCUAAGUCAGCUUGGAAAGUAGCACUGAAAAAAUGCUUAAAUCUUUAUAUUAUUGAUGGACAACAAGCUACACUGAAGAUAAUAUACAGCUAUUUCUGAUUUCAUUUUUGAAAGUAUCAAAAUAUACGGUGGGAUUCUUGAUUGAGGCUUUAAACAUAUAACAAACAAGAAUAUCCCAUAAACACCCCUUAAGCGUUAUCUUUCUGUAUCAUGUUUGCAAAAAGGAAAAUCUGUUAGAAAAAGCUGUCAAAAUAUUUUCUUCUAAUCAUGAUAUUACUUUUAUUGCAUUGGCACACACUGUUUGCAUGGCUCUCUCUGGACAGAUGUUCUCUUGAACAGAUGAAACAGUCAGUUUCAUCUGUUCAAACACAUUUCUCAUGUUCUGUUUUUUCAGGGGUAACAAGGGGUUUGAGCAUCUCUUUUCUCAGUUCACCUCUGUGACACAGGAUCUUGACAGAAAUUGACCAGUUGUUUUUGUGGUGUCUGUUUUCCUGAAAUAAUCCCAUAACUGUUAUUUCUUGCUGCAUUUCCUUAACAGAUAAGAAGUAGCAGAGUAAGAAGUUGUGCUCUCUUUUCCAUGAAGAACCCUCAAAUUAGGAUGUCCACCUGGAAUGAGGGAAGUCAGGUCAAAAACAGAUUUCACCCAUUUCAGUGCAGGAGUUGAACCACUGCUUUGGGAACAUGUCUUAGUAUUGUCAGGUAUUUUUACGUGCUUUCUCUUCAAUAUCUGCUUCUGACACAGUUCCGCUUAAAUUUCUUUUUUUUAACAUUUAGUGCAAAUUCCUAUCAACAUCAGAAACGGAGAUGGAUUCACUUCUCAGAAUAUCCUACGGCAUGUGACAUGGGUAUUGCCUGAGAUCUGAAUCAUGGUCUCUCACAGCCUGAACAAGUGCCUUCCUCAUGCUUUGCAAAAGAUGAAAUGCCACAAAGUAAUGGGUGUGGUUUUCAGUUCACUAUUUCUUUGUCUAAGGGUACAAAACCAUCAGUCAAGUACCUUACAGAAGUCCAAAGUAUUUGACAUCCAAAAAUAUGAGUUAGGUAGAUGUUUUGAAUGCUAACCUAAUUCAUAUAACACAUAGGCACCUGUGCAUGGUGCUUCCCCAUUUACAUGUUUCUCUGUAACUGGCAACAGCUGCAUUUGCUGUGUGAAAAGGUCAUCUUGGUUGAUUUCCCAGAAGCUGAAUUGUUCCUGUGGUGUAUCUUUUGUCUGGUCUCUCCUCUCAGUCACUUAUUUACUUAUUUUCCAGUUUCUCCUCUUUUGAUGUGUGGGAAUGUUUGGUACCAUGACAAACGAACUUCACUUAGUUUGAUGGGUUACACUGAGUUUAAUGGCUUUUCCAAUAUUUCUAGCAUUUGUCAGGAAGGAAAAAUGUGGGUGAGGAAGCCUGUACAUUCCACAGAUAAGUGAGACACAAUUUGUAUGGAAAGGUAGUAUCUUCUGUUAGAUCAUCUAGAGCUUCAGAGAAAAAAGACAUUUUUUUUAAAUUUCAAGCUUCUGCCUUCUAAUUUUGAGGUCAACCAUCACAACUAAAACACUGCUACUGUGUUUUGUAAACUGUUGCAGUAAGUAGCAUUUUAAGAGGGUCUCUCAUUUCUCCUGUGCACCUGUUAUCUCAAAAAGCUGAGUGUCUACUCUUAAUUUAUGUUGUUUAAGAUAAAUUAAAUCAUAUCAAAUUUAUCAAAGCAAUUAUCACUCAAACAGUUGUCGAUUGGCCAAAUCCUUCUGUGAGACCUGUCAGUAAAAAUGCUAUCUCCAUUAAUACAAGCCCAAAUUAUUUAUAUCUCCAUUAUACUGGCCCGAAUUGAUAUCCUGAGGAAGUUAUGUCUGCCUAGAAGCUGAGGAAAUGUGACAUAAUGUGACAUGAAUUAUUUGGUAUUAACGCAUUUUGCUUCUUUCUGUGCCCAUGGGGAGGAAAUCACCACACUAGCACUAGCAUAUUCAUCAACAGCAAAGUAGAAAAUCCUGAAGGUAUGAAGAGGACCUCAUGUGGCCUCCUAUUUGGUCUCUUAUAUGAAGAAAUAUAAGCCUUUUUUUUCUAAAACUCAUUUAUUUAACUAAUCAGAACAUGAUAGAGCCAACUUAAAGUUUUGUUGAUUUGCCUUCUUCAUGCUUCACUCAUACUACUGCUAUUAAUAUUUCUACAAUUCUUUAUCUACUUGACUAUAUGUUUAUAGUGCUCAAAUAUAGUUUAAAAAAUACUUCAUUUAUUUACAAUUUAUAUGAUGUAUAUAGUCUGUUGGAGAAGUAAUUCUUGCCAUGUUAAAUGCUAGAGGAAAACAAUGAGGUCUCUCUAUUUGAAUUUCUUGCCCUUCACCCAGCAGAGUUGCCUGAAGCCCCCAGGACCUGUUUUAUGUUAAGGUGUUAGUUAUUAACAUUUUGUGUGUUUCAAAUAGCCAGAAAAGGAACUGCAAGAAGACACCAGCGGUUACUUAAAUCCCAUUGUGUAGCAAAUGGCAGAGGUGGGACACACAAAGGCAUGCUAGAGGAUAAAAUAACACUAUUGAGUGAGACACUGGAGACCCAAUUAAAUUUCACUGCAACCUUUCUACUUCUCCUUUAUAAAGCUGUCAUAAUGGUGGUUGGUCCUACAUUUUAAACUAAAGCUGCAGCUGUGUGAUUCACAUCCCUGACACAGAAACCAGGGUUUUAUUGUGUGUAACACCAUUGAUCUGACUUAACAUAACACUUGGUAAUUGCUAGGAAGCUCCAAUAUACAUCUGGCCAAUGUAAUUCUCAAAGGAGUCAUAACUCAAUCCAGUGAAAAUUGCAUUUCUUUGAGGAAAGUUACUUCCAUGUGAAAUUUUAACUGUUUGGCCUUAUCAGUUCAUAGGUGGUGACGUGAAAGAGUUGCAUGUGUUACUUUUCCAUGUCCUGUGUAAGCUCCAAACUGUGGAAUUGACUUUCAUUUCUCUGCAGUACACUUACUAAGAUGGUAUGUUGGUAGAAUUCAGGCCUGGAUCAGAUACAAAACACGAGAGCUCAGCUAGCAGUAUAAUUAAAGAAGAUUCAGGAAUUGGUGUACAUUUUCAAGUGAAUACAGAUUAACUUCAGAACAAGGGUAACUUUGCUUUUAUUGCAGCAUAACCUGUACCAGGUUGCAACAUAAUGCAAGUGAUAGUGCCUUGGAGCUGCCCAAAGCAUAACAAUGGAAAGUGUGGCUUAUUACGCCAAAAUUCCGUUUGCCUUUCCCUUUCUUCAAAGGAUAUAUUUCCUAUAGAAUAGAGUGAAAAGUGGUUAUAGCCUUUGAUAAUGUGUUCACGGAAGGUAAUUUCAUUUUAAAAUAUUUCUUAAAAUCUUGUUUUAUAGUAUACAGAAGUUUCCAUAUGGCUGCUUCACAGUAGAAAAUGAAUAUAUAAUUUUUUCUGGUCUUUUCCUAAAUUAAAUUCCAUUGUACUUAUUUAAUAAGCUUAGCUCAGACAUAUUGUCAUGUUUUCUGAUGGAAAACAUGUUUUUUUUGAUAUUUCUACCUAUCUCUUCUUCUGGAAUAUUCUAACAGUAAAUGACUAAUCUUCUAUUUCCAAAUCAUCUUACUAGAUGAGAAAAGUAGAUAAGCAGACAGCAGGUUUGUUUGGAUUUGAUUGGGGGAUAGGGAGAAAAAACCUCAACUAUUUUUCUCCCACUCCUUUUUCCCUGACCAUCUGGGCUUCAUAGAGAACAAGAAUGCCUUCUGUAUUUACAAGUUUAAACAAUCUCUCCUGAUGGGGGAGGGGUGGAAGAGUUUUUUGUAUAUUUGUUUGAGGGAUAUUAAGCAAGAGUUCUGCCUGAAGGACUUUUUAAAAUAUCCAUAACUAGAUAAUGUUGUUUAGUUAGUGCAGUCUUGUUUUUUUUCUUUUGUAUUUAGAGAUGAGCAUAUUUUGGAAUUUGCUUCCAAUGUAGUUAUUUAUAUUUUCUGCUGUGAAAAUAGCUUCUUUUUAAGCUUAAAAGUCCUUUUGUGGAGAAUGGAAAUCAAGAUAUUUGACUAUGUUAAUACAUAGUUGGUGGAAUUGCGAAGCACCUCUGCAUGGUUUUGAAAGUAAACUGUUGAAUACAAGAUACACAUAGCAGUAGAGAAGGAUCACAUUGUGGAAGCAUAUUCACACGGGGAUGGUGGUGUUAAUUUAACACCUCUCUUUAGAGUCAUGUUGAUGCCAGUGAACUUAAAGCAGCUAUUGACAGCUAAGCAUCUGCUAAGUUAUUUUGCUGUAGUAUGAGGUAAAGUCAGAUUUGGAAAGGAAAUGGCAAGUGGCAAAGCUAUGCUGUCAUACAUAAACUGGUAAUGUGCAUGUUGCCAGCAAAAGAACCCUCAGUUCUCUGUCUCGGGCAUUCCCUCUGUCUCAGACCUUUCCCUCUCAUGGGGAGACACAGGCUUAAAUUCCUGCAGGUAGAAGGUGGAAAUCAGCCUUGUUUCCUUUUCUAUCACAGAUGGGGUAGGAGGUGGAAUCAAAUAAUCAACACUUACUCCCUGUUUUGAAAGAAAAGGGGCGGCCGACAUUUUUGAACAGCCACCUUGUCAGUCCUCUGAUCCUCAAGCCCUGAAAAUAAGGACUGCAUGAUGUUUGUGGAGCUGUGAAAGAUAUAGAAAGAAAACAGGGAGCUGUUUAUCAAAGGCCUGUGUGCAGCUGGCACCUUUAACGUUAAAAAUGGGCAUCUGUGGGCAGAACUGUUUCUAGACCUGGGCAGCAGCUGAGGUUUUCACUGCCCCCAAGUGUGUGUGAAGUGUGUUCACUCAAGCUUAGAUGUCAUAGAUCUCUGUAACUUUGCAUGCAUUGCAACAUUCUUGGGAUUCAAAUUAUCUCUUCUGGCUUGAAGCAGACUGUGAAAAUCAAUCCACAGCAGUCUUCUUCAUCAGUCUAAGAACAUACAAAAUCACAAGCCACAGAAACUGAUUCCUCCCCCAGCUCUCUUAACAGGGUGCUAACUUCAAAGGUUGCUCCUGACCGUUGAAAUACCAACUGUAUUAAACAAGCGGCCAGAAUGCAAGCAACCAGUUUGAAUUGCUGGAAUUCAAUUAUAAGCAGCUGGCUUUACUUCUAACUGAGGAUCUAAUAGUAAAAAAAAAAAAAAAAAAAAAAAAAAAGCAGCAGACCAAAACAAAAUUCCAAACUAAAUCCGUCUGUUUCUACUCAAUGAAAGUUAAAUAGUAAGUGUGCCACUUUGAAGGCCAGAUGAAAGUUUCACUGUUCAGAGCAUGUGCAGCCUGUACAAACAGACAUUUACAAAGACAGAUGUCUUCCUACAGGAGGUAAAAAUAAAUUUCUCUAUGGGUUUCCUCUU